This 789-nucleotide ribosomal RNA is filed under the name uncultured fungus. RNAcentral describes it as "SSU rRNA". It matches the Rfam family "Eukaryotic small subunit ribosomal RNA", at positions 625 to 1501 of the family's 1831-position model. The record is from RNAcentral. Lineage: Eukaryota; Fungi.
CGCUCGUAGUCUGAUGUAAUGGGGACGGUUGUGGGGAGCAGCAAUGCUCUGUGCAGCGGUCUCCAUCAGCGGGACAGCAAUGUCCCAGUUUACUUUGAGGAAAUUAGAGUGUUCAAAGCAGGCNAUUGCUUGAAUACUGCAGCAUGGAAUAAUGGAAUAGGACUCGCGUCUUAUUUUGUUGGUUUGGAGAUGUGAGUAAUGAUAAAUAGGGGCAGUUGGGGGCAUUGGUAUUCAGUAGUCAGAGGUGAAAUUCUUGGAUUUACUGAAGACUAACUAGUGCAAAAGCAUUUGCCAAGGAUGUUUUCAUUGAUCAAGAACGAAAGUUAGGGGAUCGAAGACNACUAGAUACCGUCGUAGUCUUAACCAUAAACGAUGCCGACUAGGGAUCGGCGGANGACGUUUAGCGUCNCCGCCGGGACCUUGCGAGAAAUCAAAGUUUUUGGGUUCUGGGGGGAGUAUGGUCGCAAGGCUGAAACUUAAAGGAAUUGACGGAAGGGCACCACCAGGAGUGGAGCCUGCGGCUUAAUUUGAAUCAACACGGGAAAACUCACCAGGUCCGGACAUGGUAAGGAUUGACAGAAUGAGAGGUGGUGCAUGGCCGUUCUUAGUUGGUGGAGUGAUUUGUCUGGUUAAUUCCGAUAACGAACGAGACCUCUACCUGUCAUACUACAGCAGUCGAUGUGGAUCGGUUGGUGUUCUAUGAGGGACUGACUGGGGUUACCAGUAGGAAGUUUGAGGCAAUAACAGGUCUGUGAUGCCCUUAGAUGUUCUGGGCUGCACGCGCGCUAC